AACAAGAUCAGAUUGUACAAAAAGUAAUAAACUAAUCAAUACUCUGCAGUAGAAGAUCAACUUAAGUAAAACCAGCAUUAAAGGGAUGGUUCACCCAAAAAUGAAAAUGCACUCAUUAUCUACUCACCACUAUGCCGAUGGAGGGGGUGGGUGUGAUUGAGUCCACAAAACGCUUCUGGAGGCUUUUGGAGGGUAAACAGCAUUGCAGCAGAAUCCAAUACAAUUGAAAUGGUGACCCAUUCUUCAAACGUAACAAACAAUAGAAAAAAACAUAAAAUGCCUCCAUACUGCUCCUGUGGUGUCAUCCAGUCAUACACUGUUAUCGGCAUAGUGGUGAGUAAAUAAUGAGUGAACAAUCCCUUUAAGCUUGAAAAAAUAGCAGCCCAUAUCAGCCAGCUUUUGGUUAUGACAGACAUAAUGUAAUGCCAAUGCAUAUGCCAGCCAAUAGGUGUUAAGAACUUUAAGUAAAUGCCAAAUAUAUGAUUGGGGUAAUUUUACAUAAUGUUUCUAAUUAUGUGUAAGCAUUGUUGUCCAACUUAUAUCACACGUGAGACAUUCCACUAUAUGUCAUCUCAAUGUAAAAAUAUGCUAUACUGAAUAUGAUUGAACUCAUAACUAAACCCUUAGAUGUGUAGCAUUUUAAAGAAGAUCCUCAAAAUGCUACACAUCAAUCUUUAGUUACACAUUUAGGCCCAUCUAUUUUUAACCAAUAGAUGGGCCAACACUACUAACAGUAGUGUUGGGACCUGCCAACAUUCUGCCAACGGGCAUCUAGCCUGCUGAAAAGUAAAAGAAGGGGAAAGUUUAUGCUUCAUUCAGUUUCCUCCGUCAGUCGGCAGGCAGGUAGACAGGAUGGCUGUUGGGACAUUUUUCUCCAAAACGAGGAGCUACAUCAGUUCCUGCCAGUGAACCACAGCCAGAUGUUGUGUCAGGUUUAUGAAUGGGCAGAGCUGUAUUGAGCUAACUGCAGCUAAAGAGCUAAUCCCAGGUAAAGUUAUUCAAGAUUCAAGAUUCUUUAUUGUUACAUCCCCAUUAUACAACUAUGAGUAUGUAAGGCAUACUUUAGGCUACAGGCAGGGGUCAGGACUGGGGAGAGAAAAUGAGUAGGACAGAAUGAAACCUGUGGAGGAAAGGAAGCAGUACAACAUGAGGACUGAGAUGAUAAGGAGAGUGAGAAAGGUUUGAAAAUCAGAGGAGUGAAGAAACGAGGAGUUAAUUGGAACAGAGGUACCAGAAGCAGAUAAGAGAAUAAGAUGUGAGACCAGAGAAUAACAUAUAAGAUAAGAUAUGCAGAUGUAAAACUUUUUUACAUCUUCAGUUCAUGACCAGAAAUCGUAUUACUUUUUUGUGUAAUAUUUUCUUCUUUCAGUGGCUAUGAGUCAUUUUUCUGGAUCAUAGAAGGAAUAGUGAUCAUCCUGAACAGUGAGUCCAACGCGCUGCUGACUGAAUCUUAGUGAGUUUAUAACAAUUGUGAUCAAGAUUGAAACUUCUAAAAGACAUUUCAGGUGAUGGUGAGUCGAUUGUAAUUAAUGAUCCAAACUCAAAUUGAAUGUCAUGUUUGCAGUAGUUAUACAAUGCAGUAAAAGGUCUGCACAUUCAAACCAAGUCUUUUGAGCCUUUUUCUUUUCUGAUGAUAUAUCUUCCAGUUAUAGCUUAUGACAGACAUGAUGUCAAUAUAUAUCAGCCAAUGGGUAUCAAGUUCAUUCAUCAAGAAAUGCCAAAUAUAUGCUUGAGGUUAUUAAUUGUCUCUUUCACAUAAUUUUUCCACUGAACAGUGAAAUGUCUCACUCUGUGUAUAUCUUUGUGUGUAAGACACCCUUAUUGAAAAUGUGGUGGGUAUCAUGUGUUUAGACUAAAAAAUAUCUACAUUUAUUGUUAUUUGAUUUUUGUUUCAUUAAAUAGUGAUGUUGCUAU
This is a long non-coding RNA of Hippoglossus stenolepis (Pacific halibut), 1914 nucleotides long. RefSeq lists it as uncharacterized. NCBI's taxonomy places the organism in Eukaryota, Metazoa, Chordata, Actinopteri, Pleuronectiformes, Pleuronectidae. The transcript has 2 exons. The record is from RefSeq and is a predicted model, not a curated record.